AUAACAUGUGUUUCUCCUGAACAGUUUUAAGUGGCCAGAAAUUAGGGAUAAUUGGGUUCUCCUGUGAGACACAGUAAAGAACAGUUUUUAUAUAAAAGGAAAGAGUUAGAGGUAGAGUUUUCUUUCUGUGGGUCACAAAACUGAAAGGCAAUAUCAGGCUGCCUUUUUAGCAAAUCAUAUUUCAGUUCCUAAUGAUACUGUCUUCAGCUUUUCCUAAAAUUCCCUUCCCCUGACAUGAACAGAAACAGAAGCUAAGGCUUCUUAAGUUUUAAGUUUUAAGGCAAUGAAGUCACCUUCCAUUUCCAGUGGGAGACUACUGGAUUAACGAGAAUUAUAGAGCUGCUGAUUCACUUUAUGGGGACUCAGGUCACUGACUCUGACUUGUCCUCCUUUUGAGGUUUGAUGUGCAGAAAAGGAGAAGUCUCUUCUCACAGUUUGAACUGAUGAUCCCACACAUGACUCCUUCCCACCAGUCUCUUCUUUGAGUUUACAGUUUUCUUCCUUGUACCUUAAAAAUAGGCUUUUACUUUUUUUUUUUUUUGAUUGAAGAAAUGGUCCUCAUCAGCAAUUCAUUUUGCAUCCAUUGGCGUGACAGAUGCGCUGUAUAUAGCCGUGUGCCUGCUCAGGAGCUCUUCUCGCCAGGCGGUUCUCCAGGCCUGGAUCCCAGCCAAUGUCAGAAGCAUCGUAUAUGGAUCAACACAGAAGUGGAAUGCAGAAGCUGACAGAUGAAUCAAAGAACAGGUUGCAGGGGUUUGUGAGAGCUACCUUCUCAACGUUUAGUGCGGCCGUGUGGAGAAAAUGGGUAUGGGUUUCUGAACUGCUCAGAAUAACAAAUGAGACUGAUGUGUGUUCUAUUUGGAAUUAUCAUUUUAAAAAUGAGUCGUUGGGUCACAAAACGACAGACCUCCACUUAUCGGAUGGAGUUGGUGGCUUUGAGUUCCUGGAGCUUGACUGUUUUCUAUGCACCGGUAAUCUAAGGGCACAGGAGGUAUGUCAGGAGUCAGAAGACCUGGGCUUUUGUGUUCAGCUGUUUAACUAGGAGCAACUUAGCCCUUUGGAUCAUUUUUACUACCCAUAGGCUUGUUGCAAAGAUUAAAUUAGAUGAUUAAGAAGAUUGGAGUGUCUUAAAUGUUCAAGGCAUCAAGAGCUGAGAAAGCCAAAGGCAAGAACAUUUACAGCAAAGUUCUAGUUUCUUAACGUAUUAAUGUAUGAAAAUUUUCCUUUCCUACUUGGUAGAUUGUCAUCUUUUCAUUUGGAUUAAAAAGUACAUCUUGUAAAACUAAAUAUUGUCUUCCUUUCUCCUCUUUCUUUUAAUGCUCCUUCCUUCUUUCUCUUUUUAAUUUUUUUUUUUUUUUUGGUGAGCAGUGUAUGUGAAAGCAUUUCUGUCCUCAUAAGAAGACAUUAAUUCUAAAGGAUAUGGGAUAAAUUAUUCUUACAUUUUGAUUAUCUUAUUUAUGACUUCAUUUCAUUUCACUUAAUUUUUAAUAUUAACAUAUUUUAAAAUAUAUGGACAAUAAUACAACAAAUGUCUGAUCUAUAUUUUUAACACACUUUCUGGAGUAUGUUUGCUUUAGCUGCCUUUAUUGAAAGAUGUAAAAUAUUCGAGAGAUAGUCGACAUCACAGACCCACAUCUCUUCCUGUUUUUCCUGUGGACCUUCUCUGUUAAAGGGAUUCUGCAUUCUUUCUAUGCAAGGUUCUGGACUUUAGUAACAAAGGAAUGUCUCUGUAUCCAAAAGAAACUAUUUUUCUCUAUUUUGAAAUAGUGUUCUUGCCUGGAGAAUCUCAGGGAGCCUGGUGGGCUGCCGUCUAUGGGGUCACACAGAGUCGGACACGACGGAAGCGACUCAGCAGCAGCAGCAGCAGCAGUGUACACAUUCAUUCACUCUGUGUUUGUCUCUUGACAAAGAGAAAUGUAGCCUGCCAGGCUCCU
This 1931-nucleotide long non-coding RNA is filed under the name Ovis aries (sheep). RNAcentral describes it as "lncRNA (ENSOARG00000026784.1)". The record is from RNAcentral. Lineage: Eukaryota; Metazoa; Chordata; Mammalia; Artiodactyla; Bovidae.